Molecule: long non-coding RNA, 3202 nt
Organism: Mytilus californianus (California mussel)
Lineage: Eukaryota; Metazoa; Mollusca; Bivalvia; Mytilida; Mytilidae
Exons: 3
Source: RefSeq, a predicted model, not a curated record
CCACGCCAUAUUUCCGGAUAACAUCAUGUUGUUGAAUUAGAUUAAAAAGAUUAAGUUAUGGAAAACACCGAAACUUCUGAUGUUUGUUCUAAAAAUCAUGAAGAGCCACAUCUUGGUAUGUCGGAGUCAAAUGAAGAUAACGACCGCACCGACGAUGUAAGGAUUCAUUUUGACUCGACGACGACAUUUACACUACACAACACAGACAUCAAUGACAUCAAAGUUAUGAAAGACGGCACUAUUGUAAUCGCUGAUUAUCAUUGGCAGCAUGGUGCGGUGGUUACGUGUGACAUGCAAGGACAGAAUGUGCGGCGAAUAGAAGAACCGAGCGGUGGCAGGCCGUUUCGACUAGAUGUGAUGGAUGAUGAUAAUGUCGUCGUUUCCCUCCCAGAUAAGGGGGAUAUUAUGUUUGUUGACGUGAAGCGUGGAGUGAUUACAGGAUGUAUGGGUUGUACGGGUACCAACAUAGUCUACCGAUAUGGCGACAUAUAUAUUCAAAGUAAUGAUAUUAUUUAUAAGAUACGAAAGGGUGGCCAAUCACUAGGAACAAUAACUCCGUUUGAUUUUCGACCACUUUACUUCAGUGCUACAGACAAUGGAGGAUUAAUAUACUGCACUGUACGAAACAGAAAUGAAUUGAUUUGCAUGGAUGAUAGGGGAGUGACACAAUACGGAAUAACAGCACCAUUGAUGACGUCACCACACGGCAUUACAAUCGACGAUGAAUGGUUUAUAUAUGUCGUCAGCGCAAAAUCUCAGAAUGUGCAUAGAUUUCACGAGAGAGGCAUACCCUUUCAGAGAAUUAUCAGUCUGCCGUCUAAACUAAAAUCACCGACAAUAUGUUUUCACUCUGAUUCCAAGUCAAUAAUAAUUGGAGAUAAAGACACAGUAUUUAUUUACAAGAAAGAACUAGAUUUUUACUAAGAUUCCAACUGGUGCGUAUAUGGAAUGCUUUACUUUACUUUGUAAGAUUAGUUCUAAUUACGUGUUUUACACUUAUCGAUUGUAUUUUACAUAUUUCUGUGUUUUUGUUUUUUAACUUUGUCAAAAUAUGUAAAUAUUGAUAUUGAUUUCUAUUCACCGAAUUACUAUCAUCAUAAUAAUACAUUUAAAAUAAACUAAAUGCUUUUGAGUGGUUACUGAUAUAUUAUAUUUCUUACACUAGAUCGAACAUAUAUACCCGCAAUAAUACUUUCUGUCUGUAAAUUUCUAUUUCAUUAAAUUAGAAAUUAUGUUAACGUAAAAUUAAUGCACAACCCCCCUAGUCAAAUUAACCUUUAAACGGUUUUGACUGUUCUGUUAAGGUUUGUAUGGCUUGACAUCGGACACGUUAUGAUUUUUGCUUUCUAUUUUGGACUGGAGUUGUACAAUGUACCUGUUGAAGUUAUUCGAAAAACAUGUGUUUACGCACGAAAAUCAUAUCUUACAUUUAUAGUUUUGCAACAACAACAAAAAUAGAAAGAAACAAAAAUUAUGUAUACUCAAUGGGUAUUUGACAAAACAUGUAAAUGCGUAUGACAUUCUCUCUUCCGUUUGACAUCCGUUUAAUGUUUGAAUGUAACAAAUUUACGACACAUCGACAACAAAAGUAUAUAUCAUAUUAUAAACACCUAACAACAUGACCGAGUCCUACAUGUAUAGGCUAAACACUGAUGUCUUUGAUAUUCGGAAGGAUGAUUUACCAACAAAUACUCCGGAAACAUCCGAGAUUACUCUUAAAACAUCCGAACUUACCACCCACGAUGACACUGACGAGCGUUUUGAUAAAGUUUAUAAACUGGAGACAACAUUUAUUUUACCGAGCACGGACAUAAGCGACAUCAAAGUAAUGGAAGAUGGCACAAUUGUAAUAGCUGAUUUUCAACGUUGUUCUUUAGUUGUGUGUGAUAUAAAAGGGGAACAACUCCGUAGAAUCGGACAAACCGAUGGAUGGAGACCUUUCCGAUUGGAUGUGGUAGACUACAGUGAUGUCGUUGUUUCUCUGCCGCAGCGGAAUGAAGUCAUGCAGGUUAAUAUAAGGCGUAAUGAUAUCAAGCAUUAUAUUGUUACAGGGUGUCGCAAUGUUGCCUACCAUGACGGUGAACUGUUUGUUCAAAGUAACGAAAAGAUUAAUGUUAUUACUAUGAAAGGUGGCUUGAAGGAUACAAUAACGCCUCCUGGUUUUUACCCUAUCUAUUACCACGUGUCAAAGAAUGGGGAUGUUUUAUGCACUGCACGUGGUAAAAAUGACCUUAUAUGUAUAAACAGACUUGGAGUAGUACAAUAUACAGCACAUGCACCACAAAUGCUGUUUCCAUAUGGAAUCACAACCGACAGCAAAGGAAACAUAUUAGUUGUAAGUGCAGGCUCCAACAAUGUUCAUGUAUUUAGUCCCAAUGGAAGACAUUCUUCGUUGAUAGCUAAACUGCCUGUCAAUUUGGAAUUCCCGACGAUUUGUUUUUAUUCAAAUGCUCAAUCUAUUAUAAUCGGUGAUAAAGACCAAGUUUUCAUUUACAAAUGACAGCAUCUUUAUUAUGCAUUUAUUUGUAUGCUGUAAAAUAAAUAUUCUUGUCUACAGCUGCAUAUAGGUGCAUAUAUCCCACGGUUCUAAUGGACAGUAUAUGAAUGUAUACAUUGGCCGUUUUACAUGUAUAUAAUUUAAAGAUAUAAAUAAAUAUUAGCCGUAGUUCGGGAAAUGAUAGUCGUUUGCUUAUAUUUUCCCUUUUUAUUUGGCUAAACAAUUUGACUCGCACUUUUGAUAUUUUCAAAACAAUCUACGCUACAAAAUGAAUAGAGGAUUUGCAAUAUGUUGGUUAGUACAUACAUUUAUAUGAUUUUGAAUGUUAGUUCGAACAUUCUACAGAUAAAAUCAUUUAAAUUCAGAGAGCUUUACAAAGAGUCUCAUCCUUUCCAUAGAAAAUGAUAAUGUAUAACAUUGUCUUCUUUCAAUACAAUUACGACAGAUUUUAAAAUAGUAGAACUACAAUAUCAGUAAUGGACAUAACAAAAACUUCAUCACCAAACACCACAAAAAACUAUUCAACAGCUCUAGAUCUUAACAUAGAUCUUAAAUUUUUGAGCAUACCUUCUACGGCAAACACACGUGUAUCUGAUCCUUUUUGUUAGGGUGAUUAUUGCUCAAUCUUUAGUUUUCUGUAUGAUAUUUUAUGUGUGGUCGUUUGUCUGUUCGUCUUUUUCUUUUAUACAGUAUUUCUACGACUUA